CCUACGGUGCGCAGCAGUGAGGAAUAUUGGUCAAUGGGCGAGAGCCUGAACCAGCCAAGUCGCGUGAAGGAUGACGGAUCUAUGGUUUGUAAACUUCUUUUAUAUGGGAAUAAAGUGAGGAACGUGUUCCUUUUUUUAUGUACCAUAUGAAUAAGCAUCGGCUACCUCCGUGCCAGCAGCAGCGGUAAUACGGAGGAUGCGAGCGUUAUCCGGAUUUAUUGGGUUUAAAGGGUGCGUAGGUGGUUAAUUAAGUCAGCGGUGAAAGUUUGUGGCUCAACCAUAAAAUUGCCGUUGAUACUGGUAGACUUGAGUAUAUUUGAGGUAGGCGGAAUGCGUGGUGUAGCGGUGAAAUGCAUAGAUAUCACGAAGAACUCCGAUUGCGAAGGCAGCUUACUAAACUGCCACUGACAUUGAUGCUCGAAAGUGUGGGUAUCAAACAGGAUUAGAUACCCGAGUAGUC
Molecule: ribosomal RNA, 460 nt
Filed under: uncultured bacterium
Lineage: Bacteria
Description: partial 16S ribosomal RNA
Rfam family: Bacterial small subunit ribosomal RNA
Source: RNAcentral